Molecule: ribosomal RNA, 582 nt
Filed under: Enterococcus faecalis
Lineage: Bacteria; Bacillati; Bacillota; Bacilli; Lactobacillales; Enterococcaceae
Description: bacterial SSU rRNA
Source: RNAcentral
CAUGCAAGUCGAACGCUUCUUUYCUCCCGAGUGCUUGCACUCAAUUGGAAAGAGGAGUGGCGGACGGGUGAGUAACACGUGGGUAACCUACCCAUCAGAGGGGGAUAACACUUGGAAACAGGUGCUAAUACCGCAUAACAGUUUAUGCCGCAUGGCAUAAGAGUGAAAGGCGCUUUCGGGUGUCGCUGAUGGAUGGACCCGCGGUGCAUUAGCUAGUUGGUGAGGUAACGGCUCACCAAGGCCACGAUGCAUAGCCGACCUGAGAGGGUGAUCGGCCACACUGGGACUGAGACACGGCCCAGACUCCUACGGGAGGCAGCAGUAGGGAAUCUUCGGCAAUGGACGAAAGUCUGACCGAGCAACGCCGCGUGAGUGAAGAAGGUUUUCGGAUCGUAAAACUCUGUUGUUAGAGAAGAACAAGGACGUUAGUAACUGAACGUCCCCUGACGGUAUCUAACCAGAAAGCCACGGCUAACUACGUGCCAGCAGCCGCGGUAAUACGUAGGUGGCAAGCGUUGUCCGGAUUUAUUGGGCGUAAAGCGAGCCCUGUUCGYYUCUUAAGUCUGAUGUGAAAGCCCCCGG